This 301-nucleotide ribosomal RNA is filed under the name uncultured bacterium. Its description in RNAcentral is "partial 16S ribosomal RNA". It matches the Rfam family "Bacterial small subunit ribosomal RNA", at positions 509 to 807 of the family's 1533-position model. The record is from RNAcentral.
CAGCCGCCGCGGGAAUACGGAGGGUGCAAGCGUUAAUCGGAAUUACUGGGCGUAAAGCGUGCGUAGGCGGUUCGUUAAGUCUGUUGUGAAAGCCCCGGGCUCAACCUGGGAAUGGCAAUGGAUACUGGCGAGCUAGAGUGUGUCAGAGGAUGGUGGAAUUCCCGGUGUAGCGGUGAAAUGCGUAGAGAUCGGGAGGAACAUCAGUGGCGAAGGCGGCCAUCUGGGACAACACUGACGCUGAGGCACGAAAGCGUGGGGAGCAAACAGGAUUAGAGACCCCCGUAGUCCCUGUCUCUUAUAC